Molecule: non-coding RNA, 30 nt
Filed under: Mus musculus (house mouse)
Lineage: Eukaryota; Metazoa; Chordata; Mammalia; Rodentia; Muridae
Source: RNAcentral
UCCUUAGCAGAGCUUUCACCAAAGAGAAGG